RNAcentral lists this ribosomal RNA (404 nucleotides) under Fusobacteriota bacterium. RNAcentral describes it as "Fusobacteria bacterium partial 16S ribosomal RNA". It matches the Rfam family "Bacterial small subunit ribosomal RNA", at positions 355 to 776 of the family's 1533-position model. The record is from RNAcentral. Lineage: Bacteria; Fusobacteriati; Fusobacteriota.
UGGGGAAUAUUGCACAAUGGAGGGAACUCUGAUGCAGCGACGCCGCGUGAGUGAUGAAGGAAUUCGUUUCGUAAAACUCUGUUCUAUGGGAAGAAAAGGACUGUACCAUAGGAGAAAGCUCCGGCUAAAUACGUGCCAGUAGCCGCGGUAAUACGUAUGGAGCGAGCGUUGUCCGGAAUCAUUGGGCGUAAAGGGUGCGCAGGCGGCUUUACAAGUUGGAUGUGAAAUAUUGUGGCUCAACCACAAACGUGCAUCCAAAACUGCAACGCUUGAGUUAAGGCGAGGUAAGUGGAAUUCCUGGUGUAGCGGUGGAAUGCGUAGAUAUCAGGAGGAAUACCGGUGGCGAAGGCGACUUACUGGACUUAAACUGACGCUCAGGCACGAAAGCGUGGGGAGCAAACAGG